UACGUAGGGGGCAAGCGUUGUCCGGAAUCAUUGGGCGUAAAGCGCGUGUAGGCGGCUCGAUAAGUCUGCUGUGAAAGUCCAAGGCUCAACCUUGGGAUGCCGGUGGAUACUGUCGAGCUCGAGUCCGGAAGAGGAGUGCGGAAUUCCUGGUGUAGCGGUGAAAUGCGCAGAUAUCAGGAGGAACACCAAUGGCGAAGGCAGCACUCUGGGACGUGACUGACGCUGAGACGCGAAAGCGUGGGGAGCAAACAGG
Molecule: ribosomal RNA, 253 nt
Filed under: uncultured bacterium
Lineage: Bacteria
Description: partial 16S ribosomal RNA
Rfam family: Bacterial small subunit ribosomal RNA
Source: RNAcentral